CCCAGCUCAUUAUAUUGCUUUAUUUUCAGCAUACACUCAAUUCUUGGUACUAUGCUUUGAAAAUAACCAAUGAAUGUGGGAGAAUGUAGUAAAUUGGAAAGAUAGCGGUAUUUUGGAGUGGAAAGAAGGCCGUGGAGAUAAUUUUGCCCAAAUGCUUUGUUUUCCAGAAGAGAGCAGCAAAAGAUGUCUCAAGGAUGAACAGUGAUGGUUCUGAAAGACUCUGCCUGGAGCAGCCACCUGGCUAAGAAGUCAUUUAACAAGAAACCAAAACCAAAACCACCCAGCGAUUGGAGAAGAGCUCAGGUCUACCGAGUCAUUUUGAGAAGCUUAGCUUUCUUCGGAUCUGAGCCACGAUGCCCCUGCACCGAGGGCCAGCGGGUGCCUUUGUGCAUCUCAGGUUCUGGGGCCCUGUGCACGCCACAGGGUGGGGUGGUCCUGCCCAGUGCUACAUCAGGGGAAAGUUAUUCUGGGUCUCCUGAGGGCUCAUAAAUCUGCUGUGCAGAUGAAAGCUCCAUAAAAGGCUCCUCUCUGUACAAGUCUCAAAUUUCCCUUCAAUUUAAAUCUGACAAAUGAAUAAUGAAAUGGCUAAGUCACAAUCCCCUCGCCA
RNAcentral lists this long non-coding RNA (607 nucleotides) under Fukomys damarensis (Damara mole-rat). RNAcentral's name for it is "lncRNA (ENSFDAG00000029635.1)". The record is from RNAcentral. Lineage: Eukaryota; Metazoa; Chordata; Mammalia; Rodentia; Bathyergidae.